Molecule: long non-coding RNA, 789 nt
Organism: Astyanax mexicanus (Mexican tetra)
Lineage: Eukaryota; Metazoa; Chordata; Actinopteri; Characiformes; Acestrorhamphidae
Exons: 3
Source: RefSeq, a predicted model, not a curated record
CGAGGAGCCGCUCGCUGCAGCCUGUAGGAAGGCGGAGUUGGACAUCCAACCCCGCCCACAUCCAACUCCGCCCAUGUCCAACUCCGCCUUACGUCUAAAGCAACACCCACCUUACGUCCGUCACGAACGCCUACAUUUACUCCCGGUAAACAGGAAUUGUAGCCGAGAAAGCAGCUAAAGCAUCUAUCUGAUUUAUAUCUCCGGUUAUGGCGCAUCCAACACAUGUCCAGGCCACUCCUGACCCUUCACGGUUUGGCCAGUGUGGUGUUUUCAAAUGCCCCUGCUUCAGUUUUGACACUGACCAGCGAUUUAAUAACAGCCUACAUCUACAAAACCAUAUCAAACAAGCAGUCGAGAAUAACGGAAAGUUCAGCGUGUUGAACGUGUGACUGAUGAAGGAGAUAGAAUGGGCAACGUCUCCUUUGAACAGGUGUGAGGGUGUGGAUGUGUGUUUUUUAUUUCGGGUUAAUUUAACUGGGCCAUUUAAAUUGUUUUACUGUUGUGGUUUGUUUUCAAAAGUCUGAAUUGGGCUGAAAAGAUAAGUUGACAUUAUUUGAAAUUUCAACUUGACCUAGUGUUGACUAGUCAUUUCAAGGGCAUUUGAAGCCCAUAAGCUAUUGGAGAGCUAUCAUUUUAAAGGGAUAGAAAAGCAGAGAGCUGUUUUGUUACGUUAAGGCAGAGAUUAGUCAACAGAAUGACGCUGACUACAGUCUUCAGGCAAAAAUGCUAGCCAUUCCUACAGUAAUCAGAGAUUGGGGAUAUGAUUGAAAUAAUAAGUUCCAACUCAGA